RNAcentral lists this ribosomal RNA (440 nucleotides) under uncultured bacterium. Its description in RNAcentral is "partial 16S ribosomal RNA". It matches the Rfam family "Bacterial small subunit ribosomal RNA", at positions 338 to 795 of the family's 1533-position model. The record is from RNAcentral.
CCUACGGGAGGCAGCAGUGGGGAAUAUUGCACAAUGGGGGAAACCCUGAUGCAGCGACGCCGCGUGAGUGAAGAAGUAAUUCGUUACGUAAAGCUCUAUCAGUAGGGAAGAAAAUGACGGUACCUGAGCAAGAAGCUCCGGCUAACUACGUGCCAGCAGCGGCGGUAAUACGUAGGGGGCAAGCGUUAUCCGGAUUUACUGGGGGUAAAGGGAGCGUAGACGGUUCGCCAAGUCUGGAGUGAAAUGCCGCAGCUUAACUGCGGAACUGCUUUGGAAACUGGGGAACUAGAGUGCGUGAGGGGUAAGCGGAAUGCCGGGUGUAGCGGUGAAAUGCGUAGAUAUUAGGAAGAACCCCGGUGGCGAAGGCGGCUUACUGGACCGUAACUGACGUUGAGGCUCGAAAGCGUGGGGAGCAAACAGGAUUAGAUACCCUAGUAGUC